CACGUGGGCAAUCUGCCCUGCACUCUGGGACAAGCCCUGGAAACGGGGUCUAAUACCGGAUAUUACCUGAGGGGGCAUCUUCUCGGGUGGAAAGCUCCGGCGGUGCAGGAUGAGCCCGCGGCCUAUCAGCUUGUUGGUGGGGUGAUGGCCUACCAAGGCGACGACGGGUAGCCGGCCUGAGAGGGCGACCGGCCACACUGGGACUGAGACACGGCCCAGACUCCUACGGGAGGCAGCAGUGGGGAAUAUUGCACAAUGGGCGCAAGCCUGAUGCAGCGACGCCGCGUGAGGGAUGACGGC
Molecule: ribosomal RNA, 300 nt
Filed under: uncultured Streptomyces sp.
Lineage: Bacteria; Bacillati; Actinomycetota; Actinomycetes; Kitasatosporales; Streptomycetaceae
Description: bacterial SSU rRNA
Rfam family: Bacterial small subunit ribosomal RNA
Source: RNAcentral